Molecule: ribosomal RNA, 459 nt
Filed under: uncultured bacterium
Lineage: Bacteria
Description: partial 16S ribosomal RNA
Rfam family: Bacterial small subunit ribosomal RNA
Source: RNAcentral
CCUACGGGUAGCUGCAGUGAGGAAUAUUGGUCAAUGGGCGCGAGCCUGAACCAGCCAAGUAGCGUUAAGGAUGACUGCCCUAUGGGUUGUAAACUUCUUUUAUAAAGGAAUAAAGCGAGGCACGUGUUCCUUUUUGUAUGUACUUUAUGAAUUAGGAUCGGCUAACUCCGUUCCAGCAGCCGCGGAAAUACGGAGGAUUCCAGCGUUAUCCGGAUUUAUUUGGUUUAAAGGGUGCGUAGGCGGUCCGGAAAGUCCGCGGUAAAAGCCCGGGGCUAAACCCCGGCGAGCCGUGGAAACUGUCGGACUAGAGACGGCGAGAAGUACGCGGAAUGCGCGGUGUAGCGGUGAAAUGCAUAGAUAUCGCGCAGAACUCAGAUUGCGAAGGCAGCGUACCGGCGCCGGACUGACGCUGAGGCACGAAAGCGUGGGUAUCGAACAGGAUUAGAUACCCUUGUAGUC